This 446-nucleotide ribosomal RNA is filed under the name uncultured bacterium. Its description in RNAcentral is "bacterial SSU rRNA". It matches the Rfam family "Bacterial small subunit ribosomal RNA", at positions 331 to 793 of the family's 1533-position model. The record is from RNAcentral.
CCAGACUCCUACGGGAGGCAGCAGUAGGGAAUAUUGCUCAAUGGGGGAAACCCUGAAGCAGCGACGCCGCGUGGGUGAAGAAGCGCCUCGGCGCGUAAAGCCCUGUCAGCAGGGAAGAAAAUGACGGUACCUGAAGAAGAAGCCCCGGCUAACUACGUGCCAGCAGCCGCGGUAAUACGUAGGGGGCAAGCGUUAUCCGGAUUUACUGGGUGUAAAGGGGGCGCAGACGGCGAUGCAAGCCAGGAGUGAAAGCCCGGGGCCCAACCCCGGGACUGCUCUUGGAACUGCGUGGCUGGAGUGCAGGAGGGGCAGGCGGAAUUCCUGGUGUAGCGGUGAAAUGCGUAGAUAUCAGGAGGAACACCGGCGGCGAAGGCGGCCUGCUGGACCGUGACUGACGUUGAGGCUCGAGAGCGUGGGGAGCAAACAGGAUUAGAUACCCCUGUAUG